Molecule: ribosomal RNA, 105 nt
Filed under: Periophthalmus magnuspinnatus
Lineage: Eukaryota; Metazoa; Chordata; Actinopteri; Gobiiformes; Gobiidae
Source: RNAcentral
UGUCAUACAAAUUUGAGAAUUCCCAAAUUUGUCUGAUCUCGGAAGCUAAGCAGGAUUAGGCCUGGUUAUACUGAGUGGGAGACUGCUGGGAAUGUCAAGUGACAU